This 1079-nucleotide long non-coding RNA is filed under the name Equus caballus (horse). Its description in RNAcentral is "lncRNA (ENSECAG00000050059.1)". Lineage: Eukaryota; Metazoa; Chordata; Mammalia; Perissodactyla; Equidae. The record is from RNAcentral.
CAUAUUCCCUGGAACAGUGGUUCCCAAACUUGACUGAACAUUAAAAGUACCUGGAGAGCUUUUCAAACCGCCAAUGCCAAGAUCAUGUCUCACACCAAUUUCAUCAGAAUGUCUUGGGGUCAGAGCCUGGCAUCAAUAUUUUUGAAAGAUCCUAGGUAAUUCCAGUGUGGAACUAAGUUUGGGAACUGCUAUAUUCUUGGUAUUUUUACUAUAUCCCUUAAUAGUUUUCUUUUUAUUUUACUUUUGUUAAAUAUAAAAAUGAAAGAAAAAUUGUCUAACUUAAAAAUAAUAGCCAAAUCAUAUUUUUACAUAUAUUUAUCUCAGAAAAAGUAUAAAUUUAUAUAUAAUUCACAUUGGCUUCAAACUAAUUCUUGGGUCAAACUAAUCCUAAAAAUGAGAAAGUGAAAAAUUCUGCCUUAAGCAAUUCUUAGGUUCAAAUUCACACUCCCCCACAGACCUGCUUUUAUACUCAAAGAGAGUGAUUACACUAGGGGCAGGCAAAUUCCUACUCAGUCCAAAACAGCGUUGCAAAUUCCAAGAACAAAAGUUUUAAUGUUCUUUAAAAUCUUUGAAAACAAAUGGAAAAGGGCGCUCUGCACGUCCAGUCAAUGUGAAAUAGAUUUGAUCCAGAGGAAUUUUCAAUUUAAUCAAAUGAACAGACAUUAGCUAAUACAGGAAUCUCUUUAUGAGAAAAGUCAUUAUUCCAGAUUAAAUCAUAAUCACUUUUUUAAAAGGUUAAGAGCAAAGACCUAAACAUGAAAUAAUGUCAGCGUAUCAAGAAAAUUGCCACUGGAAGAGUGUGUCACUUGCUCAAGGAAACACACAAGUAUUCAUGACAUUUACCUCCUGAGGCGUAAUUUUAUCCAACCGAGUAGAUGUGGUUUUAUUUUUUGCUGAAAUUUUACCUCAUUCUAGUAAAAUCUAGAGACUACUUUGAAUUCCACUAGAACAUAUUCAUAGAAAGUGUCAAUCUGUCUAUGAGACUGAAACUUUAAAAAGUGGCAUUUUAAAAAAUCAAGUGUAGAACCAAAGGUUUAUUUUGCAUGAUGUUUAUAUUUUUAGACUUCAGAAAUUAGCCC